Molecule: ribosomal RNA, 220 nt
Filed under: uncultured bacterium
Lineage: Bacteria
Description: partial 16S ribosomal RNA
Rfam family: Bacterial small subunit ribosomal RNA
Source: RNAcentral
ACCUGUCUCAGUUCGGAUUGGAGUCUGCAACCCGACUCCAUGAAGCUGGAUUCGCUAGUAAUCGCGGAUCAGAAUGCCGCGGUGAAUACGUUCCCGGGUCUUGUACACACCGCCCGUCACACCAUGGGAGCCGGGAAUGCCCGAAGUCAGUGGCCUAACCGCAAGGGGGGAGCUGCCGAAGGCAGGCCCGGUGACUGGGGUGAAGUCGUAACAAGGUACC